This 253-nucleotide ribosomal RNA is filed under the name uncultured bacterium. RNAcentral describes it as "partial 16S ribosomal RNA". It matches the Rfam family "Bacterial small subunit ribosomal RNA", at positions 524 to 776 of the family's 1533-position model. The record is from RNAcentral.
UACGGAGGGUGCAAGCGUUAAUCGGAAUUACUGGGCGUAAAGCGCAUGCAGGCGGCUUUUCAAGUCAGGGGUGAAAUCCCGGGGCUCAACCUCGGAACUGCAUUUGAAACUGGUGAACUAGAGUACUGUAGAGGGGGGUAGAAUUUCAGGUGUAGCGGUGAAAUGCGUAGAGAUCUGAAGGAAUACCAGUGGCGAAGGCGGCCCCCUGGACAGAUACUGACACUCAGAUGCGAAAGCGUGGGGAGCAAACAGG